This 99-nucleotide small nuclear RNA is filed under the name Nannospalax galili (Upper Galilee mountains blind mole rat). The record is from RNAcentral. Lineage: Eukaryota; Metazoa; Chordata; Mammalia; Rodentia; Spalacidae.
GCACUCACUUUGGCUGCACGUAUACUAAAAUAAGAAUGAUACAGAGAUUAGUGUGGACCCUGCAGAAGGAUGACAUACAAAUCUGUGAAGCAUCUCUUU